UAGUGACCCAGUGAGUCAGCAUUUCCCAAAUAAAUGAAGGGCCAGAAAUGGGGCAGGCUGCCAGCCACAUGGGGGAGGGUGGAGAAGGGGAUUGGUCUGUUGAGAAAGAAGAGGAUCUUGGGGUUUUAUCUCCCCUGGCCAAGAACCUCUUCCAUCGGGCCAUUUCUGAGAGUAGCGUGGCUCCCUUGGGUCCUUUGAUCAAUGAAAGGCAUCAAAGCCCUGGCACAGGCAAAGAAACUGCAGAUUCUUGUCCUUUUGGUCCAGAGCAAGGAGGAAAUGCUAUGGUUUGCACCAUCAAUAAACUACAGCUCA
Molecule: long non-coding RNA, 312 nt
Organism: Nycticebus coucang (slow loris)
Lineage: Eukaryota; Metazoa; Chordata; Mammalia; Primates; Lorisidae
Exons: 3
Source: RefSeq, a predicted model, not a curated record